Long non-coding RNA from Vitis vinifera (wine grape), 818 nucleotides. RefSeq lists it as uncharacterized. Lineage: Eukaryota; Viridiplantae; Streptophyta; Magnoliopsida; Vitales; Vitaceae. The transcript is spliced from 2 exons. The record is from RefSeq and is a predicted model, not a curated record.
CUUCAUGACCUGGUGAGAAUACGCCUAAAAUGGUCCUUAUUGUCCCAAGACAACCCAAUUGAAGCUCCUCAAGAUCUCCCAAACCUGAUGGAGCUGCAGUUACUUGAUGCAUACACUGGAACCCAGUUGGACUUCAACUCGGGAAAAUUUCAGAAGCUUAAGAUAUUAGACCUUGAGCAAUUGAAACAGCUGAGGUUUAUCAUAAUGGAAGAUGGCACAUUGCCUUGCCUACAAAAGCUGAUCAUAAGGCAAUGCAAUGAGCUGAAACAUGUCCCCGUAGGUAUUGACGGGCUCCAUCAUCUUAAUGAGCUGCACCUCUGCGAUAUGCCUGAGAAAUUCGUGGCCCAGCUGAAGAAAAGAGGCGGUGAACUUCGCCAUUUGCUUCACCGUUGUUUGCAUAUUCUCUCAUAUCAACAGGGCCGGUUGGUGGAAGAUCUUUCAUGACCAUAUCUGAUACAUCUGUGACAUGCACCAGUGGAUCAAGAAUCAGGAAAUCAUGGUGGGAUAUCUAGCAUUUAUACAUAUCAAGCAUCAAAUAUCUGUGGAGUCGUAUUUGAAACUGCCAUUGUUGAAACUACCCCGAGACUCGGUACAAGACAUAGUCGGAUUAUGGUCAGGUGUCAAGCCCCCGAGACUUCCAAUUGAUUUUUAUGCUUCUUGUAUUAAUAAUAGUGUUGGAUUGUAAGGACUGAAUUGUUUUUAUUGUGUUUGGCUUAAAAUGUCGGGAUCAAGUUCCACGUUAAGCUUGUGGGGAUAGCCAUGGACGUAGAAAACGAAUUGAUUAUCAAACCACUCUAAAAAUCUCCUCCUUCUUUUUU